ACGAGUGGCGGACGGGUGAGUAAUGUCCGGGAAACUGCCCGAUGGAGGGGGAUAACUACUGGAAACGGUAGCUAAUACCGCAUAACGUCGCAAGACCAAAGAGGGGGACCUUCGGGCCUCUUGCCAUCGGAUGUGCCCAGAUGGGAUUAGCUAGUAGGUGGGGUAAAGGCUCACCUAGGCGACGAUCCCUAGCUGGUCUGAGAGGAUGACCAGCCACACUGGAACUGAGACACGGUCCAG
RNAcentral lists this ribosomal RNA (240 nucleotides) under uncultured bacterium. RNAcentral's name for it is "partial 16S ribosomal RNA". It matches the Rfam family "Bacterial small subunit ribosomal RNA", at positions 91 to 334 of the family's 1533-position model. The record is from RNAcentral.